GAUGAAGCCCUUCGGGGUGGAUUAGUGGCGAACGGGUGAGUAACACGUGGGCAAUCUGCCCUGCACUCUGGGACAAGCCCUGGAAACGGGGUCUAAUACCGGAUACUGACCAUCUUGGGCAUCCUUGAUGGUGGAAAGCUCCGGCGGUGCAGGAUGAGCCCGCGGCCUAUCAGCUAGUUGGUGAGGUAAUGGCUCACCAAGGCGACGACGGGUAGCCGGCCUGAGAGGGCGACCGGCCACACUGGGACUGAGACACGGCCCAGACUCCUACGGGAGGCAGCAGUGGGGAAUAUUGCACAAUGGGCGAAAGCCUGAUGCAGCGACGCCGCGUGAGGGAUGACGGCCUUCGGGUUGUAAACCUCUUUCAGCAGGGAAGAAGCGAAAGUGACGGUACCUGCAGAAGAAGCGCCGGCUAACUACGUGCCAGCAGCCGCGGUAAUACGUAGGGCGCGAGCGUUGUCCGGAAUUAUUGGGCGUAAAGAGCUCGUAGGCGGCUUGUCACGUCGGUUGUGAAAGCCCGGGGCUUAACCCCGGGUCUGCAGUCGAUACGGGCAGGCUAGAGUUCGGUAGGGGAGAUCGGAAUUCCUGGUGUAGCGGUGAAAUGCGCAGAUAUCAGGAGGAACACCGGUGGCGAAGGCGGAUCUCUGGGCCGAUACUGACGCUGAGGAGCGAAAGCGUGGGGAGCGAACAGGAUUAGAUACCCUGGUAGUCCACGCCGUAAACGGUGGGCACUAGGUGUGGGCAACAUUCCACGUUGUCCGUGCCGCAGCUAACGCAUUAAGUGCCCCGCCUGGGGAGUACGGCCGCAA
RNAcentral lists this ribosomal RNA (809 nucleotides) under Streptomyces sp. A23. Its description in RNAcentral is "bacterial SSU rRNA". It matches the Rfam family "Bacterial small subunit ribosomal RNA", at positions 68 to 891 of the family's 1533-position model. The record is from RNAcentral. Lineage: Bacteria; Bacillati; Actinomycetota; Actinomycetes; Kitasatosporales; Streptomycetaceae.